This 721-nucleotide ribosomal RNA is filed under the name uncultured bacterium. RNAcentral's name for it is "bacterial SSU rRNA". It matches the Rfam family "Bacterial small subunit ribosomal RNA", at positions 61 to 778 of the family's 1533-position model. The record is from RNAcentral.
GUCGAGCGGCAGCGCGGGGGCACCCUGGCGGCGAGCGGCGAACGGGUGAGUAAUGUAUCGGAACGUACCCAGUCGUGGGGGAUAACUAUCCGAAAGGAUAGCUAAUACCGCAUACGUCCUGAGGGAGAAAGCGGGGGACCGUAAGGCCUCGCGCGAUUGGAGCGGCCGAUAUCGGAUUAGCUAGUUGGUGAGGUAAAGGCUCACCAAGGCGACGAUCCGUAGCUGGUCUGAGAGGACGACCAGCCACACUGGAACUGAGACACGGUCCAGACUCCUACGGGAGGCAGCAGUGGGGAAUUUUGGACAAUGGGGGCAACCCUGAUCCAGCCAUUCCGCGUGAGUGAAGAAGGCCUUCGGGUUGUAAAGCUCUUUCAGCAGGAACGAAACGGUGGUCCUUAAUACGGGCUACUAAUGACGGUACCUGAAGAAGAAGCACCGGCUAACUACGUGCCAGCAGCCGCGGUAAUACGUAGGGUGCGAGCGUUAAUCGGAAUUACUGGGCGUAAAGCGUGCGCAGGCGGUUCUAUAAGACAGAUGUGAAAUCCCCGGGCUUAACCUGGGAACUGCGUUUGUGACUGUAGGACUCGAGUGUGGCAGAGGGGGGUGGAAUUCCACGUGUAGCAGUGAAAUGCGUAGAGAUGUGGAGGAACACCGAUGGCGAAGGCAGCCCCCUGGGUCAACACUGACGCUCAUGCACGAAAGCGUGGGGAGCAAACAGGAU